RNAcentral lists this ribosomal RNA (2600 nucleotides) under metagenome. RNAcentral's name for it is "bacterial LSU rRNA". It matches the Rfam family "Bacterial large subunit ribosomal RNA". RNAcentral also lists the same sequence under 1 other name. The record is from RNAcentral.
UCAAACAAAAGCCGUAUUUUGUGGAUGCCUUAGGUUCAUAUGCACAAUGGGCGCUUUACGAUGCGAAACGUUGUAUCUGAGACAUCAUUCUGAUAGGUACAAAUCCCCACAGCGGUAAACCGCAAUAUUUUGACACGAGGAGAACUGAAACAUCUAAAUAUCCUCUAGGAAAAGAAAUCAACCGAGAUUCCGUUAGUAUUGGCGAAAGAACGCGGACAAGGCAUAUGAUUAUGAAAUUGAAAAACAUGUUGGAAUACAUAGACCAAAGAAGGUAAAAGUCCUGUAUUAUGCCUUUCAUAAUCAUCAAGAGUAGAACGUUAGACUGUUUGAAAAUAGGAGAACCACCUUCUAAGCCUACAUAUGCAUAUGAGACCGAUAGUGAACAAGUACUGUGAAGGAAAGGUGAAAAGAACCCUCUUGUAUAGGGAGUGAAAAGAUCUGAAACAAAAUACAUACAAUCAAUCGAUAUAUUAAAAAAAUGUAUCGGUGUACCUUUUGCAUAAUGGGUCAGCGACUAAAUGUGUGCAGCUUGCUUAAGCAACGAUGUGGAGGCAAAGCAAAAGCGAGUAGGUUUUCCUGCGUUUGUUGCAUGCAUUUGACCCGAAACUAAGUGAUCUCGUUUUGAGCAGGUUGAAGAAAGCGUAAAGUCUUUUGGAGGACCGAACCGACGUCUGUAGCAAUAGGCGCGGAUGACUUGAUACGAGGGGUGAAAGGCCAAUCAAACUUAGAAAUAGCUGGUUCUUCGCGAAAUUUAUUGAGGUAAAGCGUCUAUUAAAUCUUUCUGGGGGUAGAGCACUUAUUGAGCUAUGGGGGUCCAAAACCUUACUGCUCUCAAGAAAACUCCGAAUACCAGUAAAGUAUAAUAGGCAGACAGACAAGCGGUGCUAAGGUCGCUUGUCGAAAGGGAAACAGCCCAGCCUGGCCGCUAAGGUCCCAAAGCAUUCUGUGAGUGGGAAAAGAUGUGAUACAACUAUGACAACUAGGAGGUUGGCUUGGAAGCAGCCAUUCUAUCAUGAAAGCGUAAUAGCUCACUAGUCGAGUUGUGUUGCGCUGAAAAUGUAUCGGGGCUGAACAGAAUCACCGAAGCGCCAGUUUUUAAGUAGCGAAGCGUUUUGUGCGCCAAUGAACAUACAUCGUAAGAUUUGUGGAAGGUCUCAAAAGUGACUAUGCUGACAUGAGUAACGAAAAAUCAUGUAAAGCCAUGAUCGCCGUAAGUCCAAGGGUUUCUGCUAACUGGGAAUCAGUGCAGAGUUAAGUUCGGUCCCUAAGAGUUUGUAUACACUUAUACGCUCGAUGGAGGACGUUUAUGCAAGACGGCUAUUAUACACAAAUACUGCAAAUUGGAUACGGUGUAUGUGUGUUGUAGUCCAGGAAAAAAGCAUUAAUGCAAGACCGUACCCGAAACCGACACAGGUGGACGAGUCGAGUAGACUCAGGCGUUGAGUGAACCAUAUUGAAGGAACUCGGCAAAAUAAUCCCGUAACUUAGGAAGAAGGGAUACCGAAAGGUGACACAAAAAUGGGGGUGACGACUUUUUACUAAAAAAUUAGGACUCUGCAAAAUGGUAACAUGCUGUAUAGGGUCUGACGUCUGCCCGGUGCUAGAAGUCUAAAAGGCGCAUUGCAAGAUGCAAAUGGAAAGCCUAGUAAACGGCGGUUGUAACUAUAACAAUCAUAAAGUAGCGAAAUUCAUUGCCAGCUAAUUCCUGGCCUGCAUGAAAGACGUAACGAUUGCCCCACUGUCUCCAGUAUGGACUCAGUGAAAUUGAAUUCUCCGUGCAGAUGCGGAGUACGUGCCCCAAGACGAGAAGACCCUGUGCAUCUUUACUGUACAUUUGCAUUGACAAAACGAUGAGCAUGCGUAGGAUAGGUGGGAGUACAUACAUCCUUGAAAUACCACCCUUGCCAUGGGUUUUGUCUUACACCGAAUUUGGUGCACAAUGCAUGUGAGGCAGUUUGACUGGGGCGGUCGCCUCCUAAAAGGUAACGGAGGCGUGCGAAGGUAAACUCAAUGCAAGACGGAAACUUGCUGAAGAGCGUAAUGGUAUAUGUUUGCCUGACUGUAAGAUGUACACAUCAAACAGAGACGAAAGUCGGCCAUAAUGAUCCACAAGUGCCGUGUGGAAGGGCUUGUGCUUAACGAAUCAAAGAUACGCCAGGGAUAACAGGCUGAUAAUUCCCAAGAGUCCUUAUCGACGGAAUUGUUUGGCACCUCGAUGUUGACUGAUCAUAUCCUGGGGCUGAAGAAGGUCCCAAGGGUUCGGCUGUUCGCCGAAUAAAAUGGUACCUGAGUUGAGUUUAGAACGUCGUGAGACAGUUUGGAUUCUACCUGGGGUGCGCGUAAAAGAAUUGUGAAAACCACGUCCUUGUACGAGAGGACCGGACGUGUACAACCACUGGUCGAGUAAUUGUUUUGCCGAAAGCAUUGUUACCAGGCUACGUUGUGAAAGGAAAAGAACUGAAAGCAUCUCAAGUUCGAAACUUUUUUCGAGACAAAUUCUUUAAGAUGUCGUGAAAGACUAUCACGUUAAUAGCCGAGCUGUCUAUACCAUGAAAAUGAGUAAUGCAUGCUCGGACUAAUCUUUUUUAUUUAAUAAAAAU